GUUGGUUGUCUCACUAAAUAACAGAAUGGUUUUUCAUUCAUCAUCAGAGCCAGAGCCUUCUGAACUUGAACUCUGCUUAUGAGCUUUUCCAUUGGCAACAGGGCCCUUCUUUUUCACAUCUUGCUCAUCAGCUUCGUCUUCACUGUAUUCACUCUCGUAAUCAUCAUAUUCUUCUUCAUCAUUUUCCUCUUCCUCUUCAAUUCCAUCUUCCAUGGUUGGCCCUUCUUCUGCCAUAAGGCCACCACGGGUACCCGCACGGGUUCGUUUCAAGAUUUUCAAUUUCAGGUUUGUUUUGUUAUCGCAACCGAUCCAAGAAUCACACAGGCAGUAACAAGUUAAAUUGUAGUUCCCCUCAGCUGGAGCGUGGAACUUGCCUAGAACCAGUCUAGAUCCUGCUUUUACCUUCUCUACCGCUUGCCUAACUGCAGCACUGGUUUCCUUCACACUUGCUCCAGAUCCCUCCAUUUGUUCCUCGAUCGCCUUGGAGGCAGCGGUUAUGGCCGUAGCCUCAUCCAUGAAACUGACCUUCUGGUAAAACCACACAUUGUUUGAAUUCGGAUCUGCAAGCAAGAACCAGAAGUUCUCUUCUUUGUGAAAUGGGUAG
This 604-nucleotide unclassified non-coding RNA is filed under the name Hevea brasiliensis (rubber tree). Lineage: Eukaryota; Viridiplantae; Streptophyta; Magnoliopsida; Malpighiales; Euphorbiaceae. The record is from RNAcentral.